GGGGAAUAUUGCGCAAUGGGGGCAACCCUGACGCAGCCAUGCCGCGUGAAUGAAGAAGGCCUUCGGGUUGUAAAGUUCUUUCGGUAGCGAGGAAGGCAUUUAGUUUAAUAGACUAGGUGAUUGACGUUAACUACAGAAGAAGCACCGGCUAACUCCGUGCCAGCAGCCGCGGUAACACGGAGGGUGCGAGCGUUAAUCGGAAUAACUGGGCGUAAAGGGCACGCAGGCGGUGACUUAAGUGAGGUGUGAAAGCCCCGGGCUUAACCUGGGAAUUGCAUUUCAUACUGGGUCGCUAGAGUACUUUAGGGAGGGGUAGAAUUCCACGUGUAGCGGUGAAAUGCGUAGAGAUGUGGAGGAAUACCGAAGGCGAAGGCAGCCCCUUGGGAAUGUACUGACGCUCAUGUGCGAAAGCGUGGGGAGCAAACAGGAUUAGAUACCCUGGUAGUCCACGCUGUAAACGAUGUCGAUUUGGGGGCUGAACUUUAAGUUUGGCGCCCGUAGCUAACGUGAUAAAUCGACCGCCUGGGGAGUACGGCCGCAAGGUUA
RNAcentral lists this ribosomal RNA (546 nucleotides) under uncultured bacterium. RNAcentral describes it as "bacterial SSU rRNA". It matches the Rfam family "Bacterial small subunit ribosomal RNA", at positions 356 to 896 of the family's 1533-position model. The record is from RNAcentral.